This 420-nucleotide ribosomal RNA is filed under the name uncultured Candidatus Brocadia sp. Its description in RNAcentral is "bacterial SSU rRNA". It matches the Rfam family "Bacterial small subunit ribosomal RNA", at positions 338 to 749 of the family's 1533-position model. The record is from RNAcentral. Lineage: Bacteria; Pseudomonadati; Planctomycetota; Candidatus Brocadiia; Candidatus Brocadiales; Candidatus Brocadiaceae.
CCUACGGGAGGCUGCAGUCGAGAAUCUUUCGCAAUGCCCGAAAGGGUGACGAAGCGACGCCGCGUGCGGGAAGAAGGCCUUCGGGUUGUAAACCGCUGUCGGGAGUUAGGAAGUGCAAGGAUGUUAAUAGCGUUCUUGCUUGACUAAGGCUCCGGAGGAAGCCACGGCUAACUCUGUGCCAGCAGCCGCGGUAAUACAGAGGCGGCAAGCGUUGUUCGGAAUUAUUGGGCGUAAAGAGCACGUAGGCGGCUGUGUAAGUCGGUUGUGAAAGCCUUCCGCUUAACGGAAGAACGGCAUCCGAUACUGCAUAGCUUGAGUGCGGGAGGGGAGAGUGGAACUUCUGGUGGAGCGGUGAAAUGCGUAGAUAUCAGAAGGAACACCGGCGGCGAAGGCGACUCUCUGGUCCGUAACUGACGCUGA